RNAcentral lists this ribosomal RNA (465 nucleotides) under Vreelandella stevensii. Its description in RNAcentral is "partial 16S ribosomal RNA". It matches the Rfam family "Bacterial small subunit ribosomal RNA", at positions 338 to 795 of the family's 1533-position model. Lineage: Bacteria; Pseudomonadati; Pseudomonadota; Gammaproteobacteria; Oceanospirillales; Halomonadaceae. The record is from RNAcentral.
CCUACGGGUGGCUGCAGUGGGGAAUAUUGGACAAUGGGGGCAACCCUGAUCCAGCCAUGCCGCGUGUGUGAAGAAGGCCCUCGGGUUGUAAAGCACUUUCAGUGAGGAAGAACGCCUGGUGGUUAAUACCCAUCAGGAAAGACAUCACUCACAGAAGAAGCACCGGCUAACUCCGUGCCAGCAGCCGCGGUAAUACGGAGGGUGCGAGCGUUAAUCGGAAUUACUGGGCGUAAAGCGCGCGUAGGUGGCUUGAUAAGCCGGUUGUGAAAGCCCCGGGCUCAACCUGGGAACGGCAUCCGGAACUGUCAAGCUAGAGCGCAGGAGAGGAAGGUAGAAUUCCCGGUGUAGCGGUGAAAUGCGUAGAGAUCGGGAGGAAUACCAGUGGCGAAGGCGGCCUUCUGGACUGACACUGACACUGAGGUGCGAAAGCGUGGGUAGCAAACAGGAUUAGAUACCCUAGUAGUC